Long non-coding RNA from Lotus japonicus, 1097 nucleotides. RefSeq lists it as uncharacterized. The record is from RefSeq and is a predicted model, not a curated record. NCBI's taxonomy places the organism in Eukaryota, Viridiplantae, Streptophyta, Magnoliopsida, Fabales, Fabaceae. The transcript is spliced from 2 exons.
UUCAAAAUAUCUAUUUUUCCUCUCAUCCUCACCACACAAUCAAAUUUUCUGAUCACACUCUCUCUCCACGUGGGCCCCACCCACACCCAAUCAGAUUUACUCUCUCUCUCUCACAUUCUCUCUCUCACUCACGCUCUCCCUCUUCCACUAUCGACAUCUCUCUCUCACUUUCUCCUUCUUCUUCUUUGCAACAAACACCAUCACCAUACUUCUUCUUCCCUCCUUGGCCAAGCAGCCGCCACCCAUGGCCAACCACCGCCACCACCGCGCUCUCCUCACGCGAGCCAGAGCACCACCACCUUCUCCCUCACGAACCAGCCCAAUCAAGCCAUCAUCUUCCUCUUUUCCUUACCUCUGGUUCAGAUACGACCACACCACCAACGUCCAGCACCACCGCGAGCACCACCACCACCAGGAUCGACCAAAAACGGCGCCAAACAGAGGAGCUUGAAACCCUAACUUCAGCCACCUUCAAGCUUCUAUCUCCGGCGAACCCCUUAGCUUUUGGAGAAAUGAAUACCACCACUGAACUCCCCUCAUCAUCAGCUUCAAAACCCCUAAAGAAAUUUCUGAUUCUGACCAUCUCCGCCGGAAACCGCCGCCAGCCGCCGUCAACCACCGUCUUCUCCGGCCAACCUUCGCCGGAGAAGGAACUGAACUCAGAAAUAAGGAGCUCUCCUCCUCCUCUUGCUGAAUUGAUUAUCAAUUUUGGUUUUGUGUUAUUGCUGUCAGCCUUGAUGAUCACGCUUGGAGAGGGCAGCCAUGACCAGCCAAGGAGAACCCUACCACUGCCUUCAACUUUGAUAGGGUUGGCAUUCUUAUCUAGAUCAAUUAAUUCUAGGGUCUUUAUGCUCCUCUAAGUCAUAUAUCAUUGUCAAUUUUGCUGUCCAUGUACCUUGUAAAAUUAAUGAAAGAAUAUAGAAUAGUGUGUGUGUGUGUGGUGUGAGUGAUAGUGUUAUAGUUGUUGAUUUCUGAGGGCAUGCGGGUUCAGCCCUUACUGUGCUUGAAAAGCUUUUGCGAAAACUCACAUAAAACUGUUGUUAUUUUCAAAAGUUGUAGCUGCUGUUCUGUUAAAAUCGUAUGUUUCGGUUAAGAUA